AUUGAACGCUGGCGGCGUGCUUAACACAUGCAAGUCGAACGGCAGCACAGAGAAGCUUGCUUCUUGGGUGGCGAGUGGCGAACGGGUGAGUAACAUAUCGGAACGUACCUUUGACUCUGGGAUAACUAAUCGAAAGAUUAGCUAAUACCGGAUACGACCAAUCUCCGCAUGGGGUGUUGGUGGAAAGCGUUAUGGAGUGGUUAUUCGAGCGGCUCACGGCCUAUCAGCUUGUUGGUGAGGUAAUGGCCUACCAAGGCGACGACGGGUAGCGGGUCUGAGAGGAUGAUCCGCCACACUGGGACUGAGACACGGCCCAGACUCCUACGGGAGGCAGCAGUGGGGAAUUUUGGACAAUGGGCGCAAGCCUGAUCCAGCCAUGCCGCGUGUCUGAAGAAGGCCUUCGGGUUGUAAAGGACUUUUGUCAGGGAAGAAAAGGCUGUUGCUAAUACCGACAGCUGAUGACGGUACCUGAAGAAUAAGCACCGGCUAACUACGUGCCAGCAGCCGCGGUAAUACGUAGGGCGCGAGCGUUAAUCGGAAUUAUUGGGCGUAAAGCGAGCGCAGACGGUUGGUCGCGUCUGCUGUGAAAGGCUGGGGCUUAACCCUGGUUUUGCAGUGGGUACGGGCUAACUAGAGUGUGUCAGAAGGAGGUAGAUUCCACGUGUUACAGUGAAAUGCGUAUAGAUGUGGAGGAAUACCGAAUGGCGAAGCACCCUCCUGGGGUAACACUGACGUUCAUGCUCGAAAGCGUGGGUAGCCAACAGGAUUACAUACCCUGGUAGUCCCCUCCCUAAACCAUGUCGCUUUACUGGUGGGCGACUUUCUUGCUUUUCCGCGCCGCUACUGCCUGAUUAUUGACCCCCCUGGGGAGUACUACUCCCGCGAUUGCUACUCUCAGGAAUUUUCGGGGACCCCCACAACCGCUGGAUGAUGUGCAUUAUUUCUCUGCGCCGCGCAAAAACUCUUCUGGUCUUGAGAUGUACACUGUCCUGCAUAGAAGAAGGAGUGUCUCCUCGGAACCCUAAACCGAGGGCUGGCUGGCUGUCCUCCACUCCUGGCCUGGAAUUUUUGGUUUAAUUCCCCCACCAACGCCACCCUUCUCUUUAUGUGCCCUCCUUAUGUUGGGCACUCUUCUGAGACUGCUGCUGACAUUCCCUAGGAAGGUGGUGAUGACGACAACUCCUCAUCGUGCUUCUUAUCACUUGUUCUCUCCUCAUGCUAUGGUCGGCACAAAAGAUAGCCGCGCUGCUGUGAGGAGCCGCUCUCCCCUAACCGAUCGUACUCCUUAUUACUCUCUACUGCUCGACUGCCUGAUGACGGA
This 1321-nucleotide ribosomal RNA is filed under the name uncultured bacterium. Its description in RNAcentral is "partial 16S ribosomal RNA". It matches the Rfam family "Bacterial small subunit ribosomal RNA", at positions 28 to 1330 of the family's 1533-position model. The record is from RNAcentral.